CAGGCUGGGUUCCAGCGUAGGGGUCUUGAUGGGCACGCUGGGGUCGGGUGGAGUGCUGGAGGGAGAGGAGGUGGGACAGGUGGGUACCUGGGCUGGAGGCAGGGCCUGAGGUGGCCAGGUGCAGGGGGCUGCACCUCUCGGCUGAAGCCGGGAAUGAGGACCCCGCUGUCGGGUGGGAUUGGAGGGGACUCGCGGCUGAGGCUCUGGGCUUCGACAGGGACAUCCCCUUUCUCCUCCCCAGGGAGAUGGUGCUUGUCGUGCACGGCUUCCCGUCCUCUGUGGCCGCCCUUCGGGUAAGGAAGGAGACCGGGCAGCGGCGGCCGGGCGAGGGCUUGGGUUCUGCCCCUCGCUCCGAGCCACCCUGACGCCCCUGUACGCCGCCCGCAGUUUGAGUGGGCUUGGCAGCACCCGCACGCCUCGCGCCGCCUGGCGCACGUGGGGCCUCGCCUGCGAGGAGAGACCGCCUUCGCGUUCCACCUGCGCGUGCUGGCGCACAUGCUGCGCUCACCGCCCUGGGCGCGCCUCCCGCUCACGCUGCGCUGGGUGCGCCCAGACCUCCGCCAGGACCUCUGCCUCCCGCCGCCGCCGCACGUGCCCCUGGCCUUCGGGCCUCCACCGCCCCAGGCUCCGGCCCCAAGGCGCCACGCAGGUCCCUUUGAUGACGCGGAGCCUGAGCCAGACCAGGGGGAUCCAGGGGCCUGCUGCUCCCUGUGCGCCCAGACCAUCCAGAAUGAAGAGGGGCCCUUGUGUUGUCCCCACCCUGGCUGCCUGCUAAGGGCCCACGUGAUCUGCCUGGCAGAGGAGUUUCUUCAGGAAGAACCAGGGCAGCUUCUGCCCCUAGAGGGCCAAUGCCCUUGCUGUGAGAAGUCACUGCUUUGGGGAGACCUGAUCUGGCUGUGCCAGAUGGACACUGAGAAAGAAGUAGAAGACUCAGAAUUCGAAGAGAAACAUGGAGCUGAUCCAGGACACCUCCCGCCCACCACUGGAGUAUGUGAAGGGGGUCCCGCUCAUCAAGUACUUUGCAGAGGCACUGGGGCCCCUGCAGAGCUUCCAAGCCCAGCCUGAUGACCUGCUCAUCAACACCUACCCCAAGUCCGGCACCACCUGGGUGAGCCAGAUACUGGACAUGAUCUACCAGGGCGGCGACCUAGAGAAGUGUAACCGGGCUCCCAUCUACAUACGGGUGCCCUUCCUUGAGGUCAAUGAUCCAGGGGAUCCCUCAGGGCUGGAGACUCUGAAAGACACACCUCCCCCACGGCUCAUCAAGUCACACCUGCCCCUGGCCCUGCUCCCCCAGACUCUGUUGGAUCAGAAGGUCAAGGUGGUCUAUGUUGCCCGAAACCCAAAGGACGUGGCGGUUUCCUACUACCAUUUCCACCGUAUGGAAAAGACGCACCCUGAGCCUGGGACCUGGGACAGCUUCCUGGAGAAGUUCAUGGCCGGAGAAGUGUCCUACGGGUCCUGGUACCAGCACGUGCAGGAGUGGUGGGAGCUGAGCCGCACCCACCCUGUUCUCUACCUCUUCUAUGAAGACAUGAAGGAGAACCCCAAAAGGGAGAUUCAAAAGAUCCUGGAGUUUUUGGGGCACUCUCUGCCAGAGGAGACCGUGGACUUCAUGGUUCAGCACACGUCGUUCAAGGAGAUGAAGAAGAACCCUAUGACCAACUACACCACCGUCCCCCGGGAGUUCAUGGACCACAGCAUCUCCCCCUUCAUGAGGAAAGGCAUGGCUGGGGACUGGAAGACCACCUUCACCGUGGCGCAGAAUGAGCGCUUCGAUGCGGACUAUGCGGAGAAGAUGGCAGGCUGCAGCCUCAGCUUCCGCUCUGAGCUGUGAGAGGGGCUCCCGGGGUCACUCCAGAGGGAGUGUGCGAAUCAAGCCUGACCAAUGGGCUCAAGAAUAAAGUAUGAUUUUUGAGUCAGGCACAGUGGCUCAUGUCUGCAAUACCAGCGAUUUGGGAGGUUGAGCUGGUAGGAUCACAAUAGGCCACGAAUUUGAGACCAGCCUGGUAAAGUAGUGAGACCUCAUCUCUACAAAGAUGUAAAAAAAUUAGCCACAUGUGCUGGCACUUACCUGUAGUCCCAGCUACUUGGGAAGCAGAGGCUGGAGGAUCAUUUCAGCCCAGGAGGUUGUGGAUACAGUGAGUUAUGACAUGCCCAUUCACUACAGCCUGGAUGACAAGCAAGACCCUCCCUCCAAAGAAAAUAAAGCUCAAUUAAAAUAAAA
Molecule: small RNA, 2227 nt
Filed under: Pongo abelii (Sumatran orangutan)
Lineage: Eukaryota; Metazoa; Chordata; Mammalia; Primates; Hominidae
Description: retained intron
Source: RNAcentral